Non-coding RNA from Pelodiscus sinensis (Chinese soft-shelled turtle), 195 nucleotides. The record is from RefSeq and is a predicted model, not a curated record. Lineage: Eukaryota; Metazoa; Chordata; Testudines; Trionychidae.
UCCAAAUCCAUAUAAAAUUUCUCUCAGCAACAAAAAUGACUGAAAGUAAAAGAUAAAUGGGCUGGCAGAUGCAGUGUAAGGAUUAAAGCUACCCAAAGGCUAUUUAGGUCUUCCAUGGGUGCAGGAACUGGGCAAAGGCUCUCCAUGCAGCAAGGCCUGAGGAAGAGACCCUGAACAAGCAGGAGAAAGACUGCA